This is a long non-coding RNA of Folsomia candida, 460 nucleotides long. RefSeq lists it as uncharacterized. The transcript is spliced from 2 exons. The record is from RefSeq and is a predicted model, not a curated record. NCBI's taxonomy places the organism in Eukaryota, Metazoa, Arthropoda, Collembola, Entomobryomorpha, Isotomidae.
AUUUUAUGCACCAUGCAAAAAUGUGCGCAAAAAGGAAACACUGAGCAUAUGUAACCACUCCACAUUUGUUGAAAAAGUGCCCCCAAUCGAGUCAUUAGUAGUAUUUUAUCACGGGUGCAAUAUCCCCAUCAGUCAGUCGAGGAUUCUCCUUAAAGCAAGGCGUUUCAUUCAGCAGAAAAAAAUUAAGGAUGCGGUGGUGCGUCUUCCUCUCCAUAAUUUUCUUUGCUAUCGUCGCCCUCGCAAUUUCGGUCCAAGGUCAGUGUGGGCGGUGCAACACGAUCUGUGAAAAUAGAGCCUUUUGCAACAAGGGGACCUGUGCCGGAGAGGAUUUGAAGUUAUGUCGUUGCUCCGGCAUUUCGACGCGGUGUUGGAAAGGGACGUUUAAUCCGAAGUGAUUUUUAAUGAGAAAUGCAAUGGAAAUUUUUAAAUGGGAAUAAAACAGUAUUAUUUUUAUACAAGA